This 148-nucleotide unclassified non-coding RNA is filed under the name uncultured Fusarium. Its description in RNAcentral is "sequence contains ITS1". The record is from RNAcentral. RNAcentral also lists the same sequence under 1 other name. Lineage: Eukaryota; Fungi; Ascomycota; Sordariomycetes; Hypocreales; Nectriaceae.
CCGAGUUUACAACUCCCAAACCCCUGUGAACAUACCUAUACGUUGCCUCGGCGGAUCAGCCCGCGCCCCGUAAAACGGGACGGCCCGCCCGAGGACCCCUAAACUCUGUUUUUAGUGGAACUUCUGAGUAAAACAAACAAAUAAAUCA